Molecule: long non-coding RNA, 6288 nt
Filed under: Zea mays
Lineage: Eukaryota; Viridiplantae; Streptophyta; Magnoliopsida; Poales; Poaceae
Description: long non-coding RNA (ZMAY_LNC000697)
Source: RNAcentral
UCAGACUUGAUACGUAGUCCACCCACGUUCCUUUCCUUCCGUAGCUCGAGCAGGUCUAUGUGUGAUGUUGGGAGAGAGAGGAUAUCGCGCAUCGUAGGGGAACAGGCCUCGUCGUCGAAGGAUCCCGGGAACCCAAGUUCCAGCCGUCGAUGCAUGCACCGUUUGGGUUGAACUAAUGGGGAUGACAUGCCUGUACUCCUACCCGCGUUGGUGCUGAUGACUACUGUCGCGGGCAAUCCGGUUGGUACGCGCGCACCGAGGAGGAACUCCGCUGUGCCCCGAUAGCACCAAGGACCCCACCUCGGACCAUGCCAUGUGGCUACGCACGGUUGCCGCGAUGACCCCGAGGUGUGGCCGUGGUGUAUGGUCGCUGGCCGCCGUCGUCGCCCUGGGGUGGAACCUUGCCGCGCGUGGCGCCUGUUGCCAUGCUUGCGGCACAUAUGGCCGGCCAUGGUGCCAUGACGAACCAGAUCAGCUACUGCCGGUGUGCUCGCCGCCGCUAGGCACUUGGUGCCUCUUCGUUUGGCCCCUGGGAGGAAGAAGCGCUCUUGGCCGUACAUCUCAGAUCAAGGGCCAGGAAUGAAUGUAGGCAUUCCAGGGAUCGUAUUGAAUCAGGACCGCAAAUUUGAAGAUCCUACGGCUGUCGUCAGGUACCGACUCAUAAAAUCCUAAGUCUAAUCUGGUCCAUUGAUGGAUGAUCCAGCGGCUGUGGCGUGAAAAUACCCUUUCGCCAUGCGUUUUUCACAAAACAACCCUCGUCUUGUUCAAAAAUAAACCCGCCGUCCUCGCGGGAGUAGUCUGAGUCUGGUAGAGUUUUAUAAAUUUAACCCUAGGCUCUCUGAUAUUAGUGUCCUAGGUCCAGAACACUUUGGAUAUUCAGAAAUUAAUAAAGAAAUAGGUUUUUAGUAUAAGAAUAAAUCCAUAAAUUUGUUUAAUUCGUAUUUAAUUCAUUCUAACUCUGAAUUGACCCAUUCCAGUUUCUAUAAUUUUGUAUUAAUAUUGUUUAUCACCUAGUACCUUUGUUUAACCAUGAAACUUGAAUUAAAAUUGCUCAAUUGAAUUAAUCUAUUCUAGGUGCUAAAUAAUUUCAGAAAUUCAUAACUCAAUAUCCGUAACUCCGUUUUAAUCCAUUCUAGUUGCAUUAGUCUCACUAUAAUAUUUAUUAUCAUUUGGUAACUUUGUUUUGUCAUGAGAUAUAGGUUUAAAUGUUGCACUUAGUCUAUUAUAUACUUAACAACGUGGAUCUUCGGAAAACCAUAACUUCUUAACCGUAGCUCCGAAUUUAGCGAUUCUCGAACCCACGAUCUCGUAGCGACACGUAGAUAUUAUUAUGCAGUUUAUUCUUAUGUUUGGUGUGUUGUUAAUUUUGCCUACACCAUGUUUGUCUGUAUUGCUACGUUUAGCAGUGAGGACACGUGUCAUCUUAAGAGCAAGUUGGUACCUGGAAUCUCAAGUGCCAGGCAAGUUGUGCCCUUGAUCACUUCUUUUUACCCAGUCAUGUUCUGAUUAAUCAUAAUGAUCUGCAUAGGUUAAUUUUGAUGGGACCCAAUAGGUUACCCCAGUUUGACUAUCUUUAUACCUUGAUUACCACUGGACUUUUUGGGUAGUACUUGCUAUUGCUUUAUGUGGUUUUGGGUAUGGAGAUACACUAUUCAUGAUUACACUUUUUAUUAUCUGUUUAUUAUUUACUGUUCAUGAUAAGAUCAUUAUGUUAAUUGGAACAUGGAGAACCACCCGGGAAAACAGUGCUACCACAAGGGUUUAUGGACGCCCUUGGCUGAUUAAUUAGGAAAGCUAGUGGAUGACUACCUUACCCGAAAGGGGCAAGGGCAGUAGGGGAGUGGUCAGUGUAGGGAGGCCCUUGGGAUGAUUUUGCUGCGAUGGCGGUCAUGCGAGGGAUUCCUGCAUUGGAGCUUCCUAUAAUAUGUAGCGGGUUGUAACACCCACUUUGUAAAAAAAAGUCUAGAAAGAGAAAUUAUAUUACUCUAUAGAUAUGUGUGUUAUCUCUAUUCAUUAUUUCAUGUGGACAUCUCACUUACACAAAAAAUAAUAAUAAUAAAUAACAAAGGACACCAAAAAUAAUACAUGCAUCAUGCUGGGAUUUUAUUUUUUGUGUGCAUUUUUGUGACAAUAUUACAGUAACGUAAAAAGAAAUAUGUUAAAUAUCCAAAUGGGAAAUUAAAUCCUAAAAGAAAUUAUAGAGUUUGGAAAAGAAGAAAGGAAAUACUAUGUGACUAAAAAUGGUAUAAAAAUAUAUAUAAUAGAAUAUAUUAUUUCUACAUUAAGAUUUUAAUUUGUAAAAUUUACUCAAAGUGGAACCUCAUAACAAGAAUCAAAUUCAAACUUGAGAUUCAAAAGAAAAAGAAAAGAAAAUAGGAAAUAUAAAAAAGGAAAAGGAGUAAACCCUAAAUGGGCCACCGGGCGCCAAUUCGGCCCACUUAGACUUACCCUGCGCGCGCCAGCUCCAGAGUCCGCCUGACACACGGGUCCCGCUUGCCACUCACUCGCGCGGGCGCUCUCUGGCCGGUGGCCCCCACACGUCAGCUCUGCCCCUUUCCCCUUUCUUCGCCGUGCUGCUCGGAUGAGCUCGACCCGGGCGCACUUCGCAGAAUCCGUUGGAGCCCCACUGUGCACGCUCGGACCCGGACUCAGCACAGGGUAUAAAUCGUGCCGCUCUCCUCUCGCCCCUCAUUGAGCCGUGCGAUUAGCCAACACCACCGUGUGAGGACGCCGUGAAGGCCGGACCUAGGCUGCCGCGGCUCUACAUGCACAGGACGAGAUGGUUGCGGCGCGGUGGCAGGAGUCGAUGGGCCGGAUGUGGAAUAUCGGCAUCUCUGCACACAUCAACUUCGGGAUGACGGCGCUCACAGAGCGGGUCCUAUACUACACCGGCCGGAUCCACGAGGUGCGCGGCCGUGGCGGUGUGGGUGACCGGAGUUCGUGUGCGUACUCACCGGAUUCCUGGAACCGUGGCGGAGAUUGCGCCAUCGCGUGGACCGGAGUCUUGCGCUGCCUUCCUUGGGUGAGAUUCCCUCUGCGCCUUCGCCUCUGUCCCCUCGUAGCUUAGCACCGAACAUUGUAUUCAUUAGGGCGCAGUGGAUCGAGAAUUUAUCGCGGAGUUGUGACGCCGCCGCGGAACUCAGUGCGAUUGUGGCCAGACCGGGGUGCUGCGCGAUCACUAGUGUGAUUCUCCUCCUCGGAUUCGCCGUUGUUAACCGUUCGUGUAGCGCUAGCUGUAAUCGAGUUUGGGGCGCCGGUCCGAGUGUUGGCUAUGGGUGGCAAUUGUGCCGUUGCGGUCGACUGUGCCUGGGCGCCGUGAGGUAGAAGAAGGCCAUUUGCCGUGCGAUCCGUUUUAAACGAUCAGGAUUAGAUCUAGGCGUCGGGAAAUGUGGCGCGUGGGUAAUCGAUCGAACGGUGCUGGAAGCGUACCGUUUCACUCUGUAUAACAGUUAAUCUUAAGCGCUUAGAUCGGAUCAGACGACCGACGUCAAUUCGUACCCCCUUCAGUGAGGCGUUUUUCUAAAAGAACCCCUGUAGAAUCCAUUAACCAACCCGCCGUCCACAUUGAAGGUAGUCUGAGUCUGUGGGGUUUUUGCGCCGAAGUCCCUGCACUCUUUAGAUAUCCGGUGUGCAGUCCAGAGCCGGGUGAAAAUGGGAUAAAUGAAUAUAGGAAAUUAUUUUUAAUAUAAAAAUAAUUCCAGAACAGUGUUUAAUCUCUAGAAAAUUCAUAUUAGCUUCUUUUUAAUCCAUUCCGGUUCCCAUAAUUUUGUAUUAAUAUUGCCUACUACUUGGUAACACUGUUUUAACAUGAAAUCUAUACUAGAAUUGAUUACUCAAUUAAUUUUAUAGCAAGUACACACGAAUUUCGGAAAUUCAUAACUCACAACUCGUAACUCCGAGGUGAUCCAUUCAAGUUGCGUUAGUCUUAUACAAUUAUUUGCUAUGCAGUAGCAACAUCAAUUAUACCAUGUCACAUACUUUCAUAUUUAUUUAGUCUAUGUAUACUAGAUUAGCUUUUCUAAAUCAAAUUUAACAUGUCCAUAAUCCUAACUUGAAUAAAGUAUGAUCUAUAGUUAAGUUAUAAUUAAGAUUAAAGUCGAAUUAAUUAUUAAUGGAAUAUCCUCUCAAAUGAUGCAAAACCAACCAAAUUAUAAUAUAGUUUGACAUUUAAAUCAUAUAGAUAUUUUAUAAGAUCGUAACUCCUUAACCGUAACUCCGAACUUAGUGGUUCUCGAACCCGCGAUCUCGUAGCAACGCGUAGAUCCUUAUUAUUCAGUUUGUACUUAUGCUUGGUGUGAUGUUAAUUUUAUCUAUACCAUAUUUGUUUGUAUUGCUACGACUAGCGCGAGGACACGUGUCAUCUGAAAAGCAAGUUGGUACCUGGAAUCUCAAGUCCCAGGCAAGUUGUGCCCUUGAUCACUUCUUUUUACCCAGUCAUGUUCUAAUUAAUCAUAAUAAUCUGUAUAGGUUAAUUUUGAUGGGACCCAAUAGGUUACCCUAGUUUGACUAUCUUUAUACCGUGUUUACCACUGAACUUUUUGGGUAGUACUUGCUAGUGCUUUAUGUGGUUUUGGGUAUAAAGAUACAUUAUUCAUGAUCACACUUUUAUUGUCUUUUUAUUAUUACUGUUCAUGAUAAGAUCAUUAUGUUAAUUGGAACAUGGAGAACCACCCGGGAAAACAGUGCUACCACAAGGGUUUAUGGACGCCCUUGGCUGAUUAAUUAGGAAAGCUAGUGGAGGACUACCUUACCCGAAAGGGGCAAGGGCAGUAGGGGAGUGGUCAGUGUAGGGAGGUCCUUGGUUGAUUUUGCUGCGAUGGCGGUCAGGCAAGAACCCUGCAUUGGAGCUUCCUAUAAACUGUAGCGGGUUUUCUGAAGCUAGUGGAACUUUGUAAAGGCCUCGUAGUGUUACCCUGCCUCGCCUCCUCGGUAGAGGUGUAUGGGAAGUCGCGAUCCCUUGGCAGAUGGGUAACAUGACUUGUGGGUAAAGAUGUGCAACCUCUGCAGAGUGUAAAACUGGUAUACUAGCCGUGCUCACGGUCAUGAGCAGCUCGGACACUCACAUGAUUAAUUUAUGGAACUUAAAUUUAAUUUGUCAUAUGCAUUGCAUCGCAGGUGAUGUUGUUACUUUUGUUCUACUACUUAAUUGGGUUGGUAUUUACUUAUACUUAGUAAUUGCUAAUAAAAUUUUGACCAACUUUAAAAGCAAUGCUCAGCUCUAACCAUCCUCUUUGGUAAGCCUUACACUUCACGUGAGCUCCCACCUUUGGCGAGUUCAUGCACAUUAUUCCCCACAACUUGUUGAGCGAUGAACGUAUGUGAGCUCACUCUUGCUGUCUCACACCCCCCACAGGUCAAGAACAGGUACCGCAUGAUGAGGCGCAUGGAGGAUGCUGCGAUGAGUUCGUGAGAGAUCUAGGUCGUCGUCUCCCAGUCAACUUUGGGUUGCUGGACCGUUGUCUUCUUAUAAUGUAAAUAUUUAUUUAUUUUGUAUAGAACUCCUGUUAUAUAGUAAAGUUGUAACAUUCGAUCCUAUGCCAUGAUUCAUCAUAUGUGUGAGACUUGGUCCUAGCACACCUGGUGAUUAUGUUCGCGCCCGGGUCUUGGUGCCCCGAAACCCGAGUGUGACACGGGUUUCUGAAGCUAGUGGAACUUUGUAAAGGCCUCGUAGUGUUACCCUGCCUCGCCUCCUCGGUAGAGGUGUAUGGGAUUGGCCGUCUCUUGGCAGAUGGGUAACAUGACUCGUGGGUAAAGAUGCGCAACCUCUGCAGAGUGUAAAACUGGUAUACUAGCCGUGCUCACGGUCAUGAGCAGGGUAAAGAUGCGCAACCUCUGCAGAGUGUAAAACUGGUAUACUAGCCGUGCUCACGGUCAUGAGCAGCUCGGACACUCACAUGAUUAAUUUAUAGAACUAAAUUCAAUUUGUCAUAUGCAUUGCAUCGCAUGUGAGGUUGUUACUUUUGUUCUACUAUUUAAUUGGGUUGGUAUUUACUUAUACUUAGUAACUGCUAAUAAAAUUUUGACCAACUUUAAAAGAAUGCUCAGCUUCAACCAUCCUCUUUGGUAAGCCUUACACUUCACAUGAGCUCCCACCUUUGGCGAGUUCAUGCACAUUAUUCCCCACAACUUGUUGAGCUAUGAACGUAUGUGAGCUCACUCUUGCUGUCUCACACCCCCCACAGGUCAAGAACAAGUACCACAGGAUGAGGCGCAUGGAGGAUGCUGUGCUGUGUUCGUGAGAGGUCUAGGUCGUCGUCUCCCAGUCAACUUUGGGUUGCUGGACCGUUG